GAUGAACGCUGGCGGCGUGCCUAAUACAUGCAAGUCGAGCGAACAGACGAGGAGCUUGCUCCUCUGACGUUAGCGGCGGACGGGUGAGUAACACGUGGAUAACCUACCUAUAAGACUGGGAUAACUUCGGGAAACCGGAGCUAAUACCGGAUAAUAUAUUGAACCGCAUGGUUCAAUAGUGAAAGACGGUUUUGCUGUCACUUAUAGAUGGAUCCGCGCCGCAUUAGCUAGUUGGUAAGGUAACGGCUUACCAAGGCAACGAUGCGUAGCCGACCUGAGAGGAUGACCGGCAACACUGGCACUGAGACACGGUCCAGACGACUGCGGGAGGCAGCAGUAGGGAAUCUUCGGCAAUGGGCGAAAGCCUGACGAAGCAACGCCGCGUGAGUGAUGAAGGUCUUCGGAUCGUAAAACUCUGUUAUUAGGGAAGAACAAAUGUGUAAGUAACUAUGCACGUCUUGACGGUACCGGAUCAGAAAGCCCCGGCUAACUACGUG
RNAcentral lists this ribosomal RNA (497 nucleotides) under uncultured bacterium. RNAcentral's name for it is "partial 16S ribosomal RNA". It matches the Rfam family "Bacterial small subunit ribosomal RNA", at positions 28 to 507 of the family's 1533-position model. The record is from RNAcentral.